CUGUUGUCAAGCUGCUCAUGCUCAGCCCCCCGCCUCCGACUGCCUCCUCACAUCUACUUCACAAUUACAGCCUGUCUGAUGGAGUGAUAAUCACUGCAGAAAUCAAAUCAGGCUUCAGAUCCGCUCCUGUGUUUCUGCUGUGGCUCUACAGGAUCUACCAGGCUGCUGCUGCUGCUGCUGCUACUUGGCAUGUGAUCAAACUGGGAGUAAAAGCCAAUGUUGGGAUGUUAUGGUGUAAGCCACAGCGGUUUCAAGGGCCUCAGAUAUCACUUCCUCCCACGCUGCACUGUAGACAACCACUGGAAAGACAUGCAGGGCCAAUGACAUUUGAUUGCAGGCUCCUCCACAGGCCUCUGUGACCUGUGGCUACCCAUAACACCCUUCUCUGCAUUGAUAGGUUUGUCAAAAUCAUACAAAUACUCUGGCACCACUGAGUAGGUAUGGCAAAUGAAGAAUCAGGUUUGAUGGUUCUCCCAUGACGGAGGAAUCCUUAUAAUGUGUCUUUUUAUGAUAUUGUAAACAAAGUCCUGAAUAAAUUUUUUGUGAAACGGAUCCAGUACAAGGGGAGAAAAAGCUGAGCCUGAAUCUGAUUAAAUCUCUCAGCUGCAUGUGGAUAAAAGAGCUGCUGCCACCGGAGGAUAUUUCGACAUGAAAAAGGUGACACAUGACAAACAAAACCCAUAACUCUUAUUUGUCCUACAAACUGAAAGGUGGGGGAAAAACAAACACACUCACUGUAACAACUUGAUGUGUCCCUGGUAUUUUUAUGUGCUGUAUUUCAGAGGGAAAGCCGGUGUUGCAAUAAAAUGAUCAACUCCUGUUUAGAGGAAGAAAUCUGUUAAACCAUUGCAAAAGAUGUGUGAAUAGACUCCAAUAUAACUGCUGGUGUUGAUCAUAAAAAUACUUCUUUGCUUUA
Molecule: long non-coding RNA, 916 nt
Organism: Micropterus salmoides (largemouth bass)
Lineage: Eukaryota; Metazoa; Chordata; Actinopteri; Centrarchiformes; Centrarchidae
Exons: 3
Source: RefSeq, a predicted model, not a curated record